Long non-coding RNA from Hippocampus comes (tiger tail seahorse), 840 nucleotides. RefSeq lists it as uncharacterized. The transcript has 2 exons. The record is from RefSeq and is a predicted model, not a curated record. Lineage: Eukaryota; Metazoa; Chordata; Actinopteri; Syngnathiformes; Syngnathidae.
CUCCAGCCCGUGGCAGCAGAAGUGGAGCAGCAUGUGUACCUAAGACAAAAACGCCACUGGUGAGUUCAAAGUCACCUUCUUGUGCGGCAAAUGUGAUGUGAUAAAACCAACCAGCAGAGGGUGAUGAGACGUCGGUGUUCUGGGACUCGGACCAAGUGCUCGCACAGCUGCAUGAGCAGGACAAUCACAGUUUGGCUCAGCACCUGGAAACAAACAAUAUUGGAUCAAAGACGGCAUUGAGAAGGCUGGAGUUUCGAGCAUUCAACGCUUACUGCAGACUGAGAAACUUGUUCAAGCCAAGUGUUGGACGACAGUCGCUGCCUGGUGAAGUGGACCUAAGAAAAAAGGACACAGAGUUACAGUGCAUUUCUGGUGCAGCAAAUGUGAGACAAGAUGACACCCAUCAGUGAGGAAGAGGACCUGGGAGGUUUUCUGCAGGAAUCGGACCUUGUUGUUGGCAGGCUGCUCCAAAGUUUGCUUCAGCCUCUCCUGGAUGGCAUCCGACAGCUGACGAAGCAAAAGCAAGAUACAGAGUUGCAUGUCACAUCGCAGACCGGGGGGAGAAGAUAUCCAGGCGGACAGUUUUCCUGAGGUAGCGUGACGUCACUUCUGAAAAACAGCAAGACGCGAGUCACAACAUUCACUCGGCAUGGUUUCUGUUGGAGAUAAAACCCGCUGCCACCAGCGCCAACCUGUCUUAAUUCCUCUUCUCCAAAGUCUGCCACCUUCUGGAUGUGGUCCUCCAGUUGAGGAAGAGAAAGCUGAUGAUGUUCAGCUACACGACACAGGCUGGCAUGUUUCAUCUCCCGACGCCUCUGCCUGAAUGACCAUCUGGGAGGG